AGCAUGUGGUUUAAUUCGACGCAACGCGAAGAACCUUACCUGAGCUUGACAUGCACGGGACCGCCCUGGAAUCAGGGUUUCUCUUCGGAGUCCGUGUGCAGGUGCUGCAUGGCUGUCGUCAGCUCGUGUCGUGAGAUGUUGGGUUAAGUCCCGCAACGAGCGCAACCCUUACCUUUAGUUGCCAGCGGGUUAUGCCGGGAACUCUAGAGGGACUGCCGGUGACAAACCGGAGGAAGGUGGGGAUGACGUCAAGUCCUCAUGGCCUUUAUGCUCAGGGCUACACACGUGCUACAAUGGCCGGUACAAAGAGUCGCAAGACCGCGAGGUGGAGCUAAUCUCAUAAAACCGGUCUCAGUUCGGAUUGGAGUCUGCAACUCGACUCCAUGAAGUUGGAAUCGCUAGUAAUCGUGGAUCAGCAUGCCACGGUGAAUACGUUCCCGGGCCUUGUACACACCGCCCGUCACACCACGAAAGCCGACUGUAUCAGAAGUCAUAAUGCUAACCCUCGGGAGGCUAGUGCCUAAGGUAUGGUUGGUGAUCAGGGUGAAGUCGUAACAAGGUAGCC
Molecule: ribosomal RNA, 565 nt
Filed under: uncultured bacterium
Lineage: Bacteria
Description: bacterial SSU rRNA
Rfam family: Bacterial small subunit ribosomal RNA
Source: RNAcentral